UCAUUCCAACAAAAGAUGAAGCAUGGACUUCGUCUGCUUCACUUCUAUGUGAGCUCAAGGAUUAUUCCUUUACAGGAGCUUAAGGUUACAACUGAUCGAUAGUUUUUUUUUUAAUGCAAGGUUUUUUUGUUUUGUCAUUUUGUUUGUUUGAGCGUUCUCUUAGGUUUUCAUUUCAUCAUAGGUUUUCUCUUGUGUAGGAAACUCUAGAUUUAUACUGUUGUCAAAAUCCAAUCUACGACCUAUGUGUGAUCCAAUUUCACAACGUGAGCCAUCACAAUGUCAAAUAUUGACUACAUUUCAUCUCUCUCAAAUGCCUACUUUUUCUUCCUCGUUUGUAAUCAAACAAUCUACUGUGAUUACUCCUUCUACUAACGUGAGCCAUCACAAUGUCAAUUUCUUUAAUCCACACCACAACCUUUUAAUGGUUCUUCCACUAGACUCUUUGCUGCUCCAAAAAAGAAAACGGAAGAGAUUAUAAGUGCUGUUAAGGAAGAGCGUAAACCAUUACAAGAAGAUGAAGAAGAAGUUGAAGAGGAUAUACCAUGGAUUCAAGAGAAAGUUCAGUGACUCAAGCUUUACCUAGUCCUAGAGUUGGUCAAAGUAAAUUACCAUGGCUUCUUUAAGGAUUACGCUUUUUACUGCGUUUGUUAAGACUGUUUCAGAAGUUUAAUUCGUCUUAAGAGAAUGACGAAAAUUGGUGAAUAAGAAUGCUAGUUACUCAUAUCAAUAGAUGAGUUGUUUCAGAAGGGAAGAGAUGCAGUGGAAUCAGCCAGUCGUAAGGAGCCUAUGCAAAAGACAGGUUUUGGAAUGGAGGAAAUCUUGAGGAAGUAUAUCGGCAUGCAAUGAAUGAAAAGCCCUUCAAUCCGGAUAUGGUAGCUAAUCUAAUCCAACUCAGAAAAUCUUCAAUGCUGAAUGACAGUGAGGUUGCUGAAAUUCUAAAUGAGAUUUCAAGACGAUUUGUACGGGAUAAAGGUCCUGUUGUCAUGGAUAUUUCAGGAUACUAAGAGAAGGGUUUCAAGAGAAAAUUUGCUGCGCAGGCCCUUUUCGGGAAGAUUUUUUUUAUCUAUCCGAGCUACCAGAGUUCGGUUCGAGGGAAAGCUCCUUGAUCAUAAAGGACAUAUUUGGCGCUACAGAUGAAGAUGCAAUUACUCUGCGGGCGCAUACUCUGUCUGAGGCUGGGGAUGUGGAGUCACUACAUAGGAUGCUUGGAAAUUCGAAUCCUCAAGAACCCAAUGAAGGAUUAAUGCCUAAGAUACCUCAAAUAUUCAAAUGCAGGGACAUGAGUCGUAGAACAGUGUUAGGUUUAGCUUGAUGUUCCUUUAGCAAACCGUCAGCAACAUCAUCUUCAAUUACUUUUGGUUGUAUAUACUGAUAAGAUUUUGGUAAGUCUCUUUCCCCUUACCCAAUACUCAGUUACAUAUGCAUUUUUGCCGAACAAUCAGUGACUAUU
This is a long non-coding RNA of Papaver somniferum (opium poppy), 1450 nucleotides long. RefSeq lists it as uncharacterized. The transcript is spliced from 6 exons. NCBI's taxonomy places the organism in Eukaryota, Viridiplantae, Streptophyta, Magnoliopsida, Ranunculales, Papaveraceae. The record is from RefSeq and is a predicted model, not a curated record.